AUUAGAGGUUCCGGGGAUGAAACAUCCUCGACCUAUUCUCAAACUUUAAAUAGGUACGAACUCUGGGUUGCUUAAUUGAACCCAGGGCCCCAAUGAGAGCUCCAAGUGGGCCAUUUUUGGUAAGCAGAACUGGCGAUGCGGGAUGAACCGAUAGCUGAGUUAAGGCGCCCAACUACGCGCUAACCUAGAUCCCACAAAGGGUGUUGAUUGAUAUAGACAGCAGGACGGUGGUCAUGGAAGUCGAAAUCCGCUAAGGAGUGUGUAACAACUCACCUGCCGAAUCAAUUAGCCCCGAA
This 296-nucleotide ribosomal RNA is filed under the name Pseudochlorella pringsheimii. RNAcentral describes it as "partial large subunit ribosomal RNA". It matches the Rfam family "Eukaryotic large subunit ribosomal RNA", at positions 1020 to 1316 of the family's 3401-position model. The record is from RNAcentral. Lineage: Eukaryota; Viridiplantae; Chlorophyta; Trebouxiophyceae; Chlorellales; Chlorellaceae.